Molecule: non-coding RNA, 2272 nt
Organism: Peromyscus maniculatus bairdii (prairie deer mouse)
Lineage: Eukaryota; Metazoa; Chordata; Mammalia; Rodentia; Cricetidae
Source: RefSeq, a predicted model, not a curated record
UGGUGUCCAUCUUGUGUAAAAUAACUUCCAGUCUAGUUCAGAGGAAAAGUAUGCUGUAGUGCUUAUGUAGUGUUGAUGUCCAAUGUUAGCAACCACUUGUAAUGCCAGAAGUAUACAGCAAUGGCAAUGUUAUGUUAAAGUGGUUGCUAAGGAUCAUAGCCUUAAUUUAAAAAACAAUGUAAAAGAUAAUCCAUUCCCCUCCGUGUUGAGCAAACAUAGCAGCACUUCUCGAGAAGAACUUUCUCAGAAGCCUAGAAAGCAUUUCCUCAGAGGAACUUGGUCUCCCAAGCCCACAUGACUCCUGUGUCCCAGCCACCUCUUCCAUGCUCAUACCGAAACCAGUUUUCCAUUCCUGUUUAGUUGCCCUGGUAAUGCUUUGUCCAGUGUCAGUCAUGCCAGGGCUUGAGUUUUUAAGACCAGGGGUUUGCAUGGUCAUACAACCGACAUUGCCUUUGCCAGCCACUGCCACCAUCCCCUCCAUUGCCCCUAAGUGGGCAGCUUGAUUCCAGAGACCCUCAGGGAGCCAGGGUAAUUAGGUCCCCCAUCUGGAUUGGCCAUGUGGGUGACAAGCACUUAUCUCUGGGUUUCUUGAUUUUGCAGACUUCAAGGAAGUCCCAUGUAGAUGUUGAUGGCCAAUAACUCCAGCCUUCCCCAUAAUGGGUUGGUAGGACUCAGAUAAGAAUUCCUUUGUUUGUUGGGGGACUUUGUUUUAAGGAGGUUAGUUUUUGAGUAUGAAAAAGAAGAGGCCACUGUGGUCCUUCUGUGAGUUUGUAGAGUUCUGAACAGUGUUUUCAUCACCAGUCUUGGGAGUCUGAUCCAAUAACCAGUCUUAAGGUGUUUGUCCUACUCCUUUUGCAGGUAACUAAGUACAGAAGAAUAGAGUUCUUAUUGUAUCAAAAUAGUAAGUAGAUCCCUGAAUAUAGUUAAUAGUAGUUGACAUAUUUUCUCAAAAAAACAACAACAACAACAACCAGGAAACCCACUCCAGUAUUUACAGAUCAGCUUAUCAAGGGAAAAAAAAGUGAACGUGUACUCCACAUAUCUCUAGUUGAAUUACCAAACUUGAUGUUAUAAAGAAACCUCGGUUGUAUAGACAGGAUAUUUCUCUGUCUCUCUCUCUCUGUCUCUCUCUCUGUCUACCCUCCCCCAUCCCCUGCCCCUGCCCCGCCCCCCAUCACAAUCACUUGUCUGGUGCCAUCACCACCUUUAAGGUCUCAGAGCAGAGGAUUAUCUGUGGUCAUAAGCCAGAGGGCAUUGCAGUCAUUCCAGCAAUGCACAGACGACUGCCAUCCUGACUAACCCAAACUCACCUUCCAGGAGUGAAGACAUUUCUACUGAAUGAUCAUAAGCAUGGGACCUACCUUCACUGGACUUCUAAUGAGCCUCUGAAUCUCACAGGGGAGACAGGAUGCUUACAGACGCCUGGAGUCCCGGGAGCACUGACUAGGUAGUGUGGCCCUGAGCAGGAUCUACAGGGAGAAACAAGCUGACUUGGAAAUGGUCUAGCCUGCAGCUGGAACACAACUCUUCACAAAGGGUAAGAAGGACACCAGAAAGAGAAGGGGCCACUGAAAAUCUACAUUCCUCUCUACAGUUUGCUCUUCCAAAUACUGAAUUUUUGCAUCCUUGAGCGAAUUACAGACAAUUCCUCAUCCAACGUAAAAGUCUCACACUGACAACUGGGAGAAUGCCAUCAGCACCUCUCUCCACAACAUCAAGGCCAUCCAGAAACAAACCUUUUUAAGUCCUUCAGGAGAAGAGGAUGAGUGGCUGAUACCCAGAAAAGCGAACUCACUUUAUUGUCCUGUCUGAGUCACUGGAUAAGAACCCAAGAAGCACAGCUGGAAAUCUCUGCACAGCUGAAAAUCUAAACAGAAAUUUCAUCCAGCAAGUAGUUCUGGGAAAGCAGGAAUGGGAGUUGAAGUCUUGUUAACACAUAGGGCCCUGGGAUCUCUCUCGCCCUCUCAAAGUUACCACCUUGCCCAAAAGAUGUGGGAUUAAAGAUAAAUCAAAUACAGUAAUCAGAAUAAGUCCUGAACCUAACUUCCAAGACACAUAUGUUGACAGGCUCUCCUAUUUUUCAACCAAGCUUUCCUAUAUUUAACACAAUAAUGUUUAAGCAUAUUUGCAAAAAGAGGAAAAUGGGGCUAACUCGAUGAUUGACAGAUAAAAGGAAAGCUAGAAGAACACUCACAUUUGAUGUAGGUGUAACAGUGACAUGUAAGCACUCUAACAUAAUAAUAACUGGUAUUUUAUAAUAUUUGAGAAAAAU